UUCCAGUUGUCGCGCCAGCGGCAUUGCUGGGUAGCUAAGUUGGGUACGGAUAACCGCUGAAAGCAUCUAAGCGGGAAGCCUCCCUCGAAACUAAUUCUCCCAUGAGAGCUGUGGAAGACCACCACUUUGAUAGGUCAGGUGUGGAAGUGUAGUAAUACAUGAAGCUUACUGAUACUAAUCGCUCGAUUGGCUUGAUUGCACCCAUUAU
This 208-nucleotide ribosomal RNA is filed under the name Rhodobiaceae bacterium. RNAcentral's name for it is "partial 23S ribosomal RNA". It matches the Rfam family "Bacterial large subunit ribosomal RNA", at positions 2715 to 2925 of the family's 2925-position model. The record is from RNAcentral. Lineage: Bacteria; Pseudomonadati; Pseudomonadota; Alphaproteobacteria; Hyphomicrobiales; Rhodobiaceae.